Trichosurus vulpecula (common brushtail) is the source of this 104-nucleotide small nuclear RNA. Lineage: Eukaryota; Metazoa; Chordata; Mammalia; Diprotodontia; Phalangeridae. The record is from RefSeq and is a predicted model, not a curated record.
AUGCUCAAUUUUGCAGCACAUACCCCGAAAAUGGAAGGUUACAGAGGUUAGCAUGGCCUCUCCAUGAGGAUGUCAUACAAUAUUGUAAAACAUUCCAUAUUUUU